Leopardus geoffroyi (Geoffroy's cat) is the source of this 955-nucleotide long non-coding RNA. RefSeq lists it as uncharacterized. Lineage: Eukaryota; Metazoa; Chordata; Mammalia; Carnivora; Felidae. The transcript has 2 exons. The record is from RefSeq and is a predicted model, not a curated record.
ACUAAGCCACCCAGGCACCCGGUCGGGGGGGCUUCUACAGGCAGGGUGUGGUACGGAGCCUCCAAGAUGGGCACUGUCAAUCCCGGCCCUCCCUGUACAAGCACACUGCUCCUCUCUUCCAGAGGUGGAUUCCAAUUCCCCUCUCCUCAAAUGUGGACCAGCCUUAGUGAUUUCCUUGGCCACUAGCAUGUGGCAGAGGUGAUGGUUCUAGGCCUUCUGAGGCCAGGUCCUACAAAGUCCUAUAACUUCUGCUUGGCACUCUUGAACCACUCACUGUUGAGAUGUUUUCUCUCAGAAUCCAGUUGCCACGCUAUGAAAAGCUGAAACCCCAUGGAGAAGCCAUGUGGAGCUGCCUCAGCUUGACUCUUCAGCUGCUAUCUGCCCUCACUUGCCAGCCAUGGGAGUGGAGCCACUUUGGACUUGCAGCCCAUCUAGCCUUCAGAUCCCUCUAGCCCCAGCUGACAUCCAGCUGUGCUGUGCGAGACUCCCAGAGAGAACCACCUAGCUGAACCCGUUCAACUCACAGAACCAUGAAAGGCAAUAGCAUACAAAGACAUAUAGUACACUGUUCCAUCAAGACUCCAUGUUCCGGGGUGGUUGGUUUUGCAGUCCCCGAGGGCACAAAGGCAUUAUAUUGUGAUGUGUCACUUCUAGGCCCUCUCCCUCUGUGGGGCUGGGGAGAGGGGAUGGGGCAUGGAGUCCCCUGGAGUUUUCUCCCUGGUCUUGACUUGUCCAUCGCAGCACCUGUUCCCUUUGCUCCUGUCCUCUAGCAGCUCAUCAAAUCGAAUUAGGAGCUACAAUGAUGAAGGGAACAAUGCUGAUUUCCAAGAAGAUUUUGGAGACUUUUUACUUAGAACUAAAUCACAUUUUCUCCCCAACUGUUAAAAUUACCAGACUGAGCUGGAUUUGAAAUUUAGAAACCAAAUGUGAAAUAAAGACCCAUGCUUGGCAAAGA